CCGCGUGUGUGAAGAAGGUCUUAGGAUUGUAAAGCGCUUUCGGCGGGGACGAUGAUGACGGUACCCGCAGAAGAAGCCCCGGCUAACUUCGUGC
Molecule: ribosomal RNA, 94 nt
Filed under: uncultured bacterium
Lineage: Bacteria
Description: partial 16S ribosomal RNA
Rfam family: Bacterial small subunit ribosomal RNA
Source: RNAcentral